This 468-nucleotide ribosomal RNA is filed under the name uncultured bacterium. RNAcentral describes it as "partial 16S ribosomal RNA". It matches the Rfam family "Bacterial small subunit ribosomal RNA", at positions 28 to 507 of the family's 1533-position model. The record is from RNAcentral.
GACGAACGCUGGCGGCGUGCUUAACACAUGCAAGUCGAACGGAAAGGCCCUGCUUUUGUGGGGUGCUCGAGUGGCGAACGGGUGAGUAACACGCGAGUAACCUGCCCUUGACUUUGGGAUAACUUCAGGAAACUGGGGCUAAUACCGGAUAGGAGCUCCUGCUGCAUGGUGGGGGUUGGAAAGUUUCGGCGGUUGGGGAUGGACUCGCGGCUUAUCAGCUUGUUGGUGGGGUAGUGGCUUACCAAGGCUUUGACGGGUAGCCGGCCUGAGAGGGUGACCGGCCACAUUGGGACUGAGAUACGGCCCAGACUCCCACGGGAGGCAGCAGUGGGGAAUAUUGCACAAUGGGCGGAAGCCUGAUGCAGCAACGCCGCGUGCGGGAUGACGGCCUUCGGGUUGUAAACCGCUUUCGCCUGUGACGAAGCGUGAGUGACGGUAAUGGGUAAAGAAGCACCGGCUAACUACGUG